CUGCCCAAAAGAGGGGGAUAACACUUGGAAACAGGUGCUAAUACCGCAUAACCAUAGUUACCGCAUGGUAACUAUGUAAAAGGUGGCUAUGCUACCGCUUUUGGAUGGGCCCGCGGCGCAUUAGCUAGUUGGUGGGGUAAAGGCUUACCAAGGCAAUGAUGCGUAGCCGAACUGAGAGGUUGAUCGGCCACAUUGGGACUGAGACACGGCCCAAACUCCUACGGGAGGCAGCAGUAGGGAAUCUUCCACAAUGGGCGAAAGCCUGAUGGAGCAACGCCGCGUGGGUGAAGAAGGUCUUCGGAUCGUAAAACCCUGUUGUUAGAGAAGAAAGUGCGUGAGAGUAACUGUUCACGUUUCGACGGUAUCUAACCAGAAAGCCACGGCUAACUACGUGCCAGCAGCCGCGGUAAUACGUAGGUGGCAAGCGUUAUCCGGAUUUAUUGGGCGUAAAGGGAACGCAGGCGGUCUUUUAAGUCUGAUGUGAAAGCCUUCGGCUUAACCGGAGUAGUGCAUUGGAAACUGGGAGACUCGAGUGCAGAAGAGGAGAGUGGAACUCCAUGUGUAGCGGUGAAAUGCGUAGAUAUAUGGAAGAACACCAGUGGCGAAAGCGGCUCUCUGGUCUGUAACUGACGCUGAGGUUCGAAAGCGUGGGUAGCAAAAAGGAUUAGAUACCCUGGUAGUCCACGCCGUAAAC
RNAcentral lists this ribosomal RNA (694 nucleotides) under uncultured bacterium. RNAcentral describes it as "bacterial SSU rRNA". It matches the Rfam family "Bacterial small subunit ribosomal RNA", at positions 126 to 807 of the family's 1533-position model. The record is from RNAcentral.